GUCUUAGAGGUGGAGGCAAGAUCGUGAUAGUUAAUCUUCAGAAAACACCGAAGGACAAGAAAGCAAAUGUAGUGAUUCAUGGUCUUGUUGAUAAGGUGGUUGCAGGGGUCAUGGAAUCUCUCAACAUGAAGAUUCCUCCAUAUGUCAGAAUCGAUCU
Non-coding RNA from Camelina sativa (false flax), 157 nucleotides. The record is from RefSeq and is a predicted model, not a curated record. Lineage: Eukaryota; Viridiplantae; Streptophyta; Magnoliopsida; Brassicales; Brassicaceae.